Molecule: ribosomal RNA, 253 nt
Filed under: uncultured bacterium
Lineage: Bacteria
Description: partial 16S ribosomal RNA
Rfam family: Bacterial small subunit ribosomal RNA
Source: RNAcentral
UACGGAGGGGGCUAGCGUUGUUCGGAAUUACUGGGCGUAAAGCGCACGUCGGCGGCUUUGUAAGUUAGAGGUGAAAGCCCAGGGCUCAACCCUGGAAUUGCCUUUAAGACUGCAUCGCUAGAAUUGUGGAGAGGUAAGUGGAAUUCCGAGUGUAGAGGUGAAAUUCGUAGAUAUUCGGAAGAACACCAGUGGCGAAGGCGACUUACUGGCCCGAUACUGACGCUGAGGCACGAAAGCGUGGGGAGCAAACAGG